RNAcentral lists this ribosomal RNA (491 nucleotides) under uncultured bacterium. RNAcentral describes it as "partial 16S ribosomal RNA". It matches the Rfam family "Bacterial small subunit ribosomal RNA", at positions 29 to 506 of the family's 1533-position model. The record is from RNAcentral.
AGUGAACGCUGGCGGUAGGCCUAACACAUGCAAGUCGAACGGCAGCACAGUAAGAGCUUGCUCUUACGGGUGGCGAGUGGCGGACGGGUGAGGAAUACAUCGGAAUCUACUUUUUCGUGGGGGAUAACGUAGGGAAACUUACGCUAAUACCGCAUACGACCUACGGGUGAAAGCAGGGGAUCUUCGGACCUUGCGCGAUUGAAUGAGCCGAUGUCGGAUUAGCUAGUUGGCGGGGUAAAGGCCCACCAAGGCGACGAUCCGUAGCUGGUCUGAGAGGAUGAUCAGCAACACUGGAACUGAGAAACGGUCCAGACACCUAAGGGAGGCAGAAGUGGGGAAUAUGGGACAAUGGGCGCAAGCCUGAUCCAGCCAUACCGCGUGGGUGAAGAAGGCCUGCGGGUUGUAAAGCCCUUUUGUUGGGAAAGAAAAGCAGCAGGUUAAGACCCCGCUGUUCGGACGGGACCCAAAGAAUAAGCACCGGCUAACUUCGU